Molecule: ribosomal RNA, 165 nt
Filed under: Meruliporia incrassata
Lineage: Eukaryota; Fungi; Basidiomycota; Agaricomycetes; Boletales; Coniophoraceae
Description: 5.8S ribosomal RNA
Rfam family: 5.8S ribosomal RNA (bases 1-114)
About the family: 5.8S ribosomal RNA (5.8S rRNA) is a component of the large subunit of the eukaryotic ribosome. It is transcribed by RNA polymerase I as part of the 45S precursor that also contains 18S and 28S rRNA.
Source: RNAcentral
AACGCAGCGAAUUGCGAUACGUAAUGUGAAUUGCAGAUUUUCAGUGAAUCAUCGAAUCUUUGAACGCACCUUGCGCUCCUUGGUAUUCCGAGGAGCAUGCCUGUUUGAGUGUCAUUAAAUUCUCAACCCCUCCAAUUCGUUUUGGACGUGGGCUUGGACUGUGGG